GGCGAAGUGGCCGAGUUGGUUAUGGCGCUAGGUUAAGGUCAUACCUUAAUACAAACUUCCUAGUAGAGAAAUCUGCGCGAGUUCGAGUCUCGUCUUCGUCA
Phyllosticta citrichinensis is the source of this 101-nucleotide non-coding RNA. The record is from the annotation of a GenBank genome assembly. Lineage: Eukaryota; Fungi; Ascomycota; Dothideomycetes; Botryosphaeriales; Phyllostictaceae.